RNAcentral lists this ribosomal RNA (303 nucleotides) under uncultured bacterium. RNAcentral describes it as "partial 16S ribosomal RNA". It matches the Rfam family "Bacterial small subunit ribosomal RNA", at positions 507 to 807 of the family's 1533-position model. The record is from RNAcentral.
AGCAGCAGCCGCGGUAAUACAGAGGGUGCGAGCGUUAAUCGGAUUUACUGGGCGUAAAGCGUGCGUAGGUGGUGGUUUAAGUCCGUUGUGAAAGCCCUGGGCUCAACCUGGGAAUUGCAGUGGAUACUGGGUCACUAGAGUGUGGUAGAGGAUAGUGGAAUUUCCGGUGUAGCAGUGAAAUGCGUAGAGAUCGGAAGGAACAUCUGUGGCGAAGGCGACUAUCUGGGCCAACACUGACACUGAGGCACGAAAGCGUGGGGAGCAAACAGGAUUAGAUACCCCAGUAGUCCCUGUCUCUUAUAC